CUUAACCGAGGAAGCGCAUCGGAAACUGGGAAACUUGAGUGCAGAAGAGGACAGUGGAACUCCAUGUGUAGCGGUGAAAUGCGUAGAUAUAUGGAAGAACACCAGUGGCGAAGGCGGCUGUCUGGUCUGUAACUGACGCUGAGGCUCGAAAGCAUGGGUAGCGAACAGGAUUAGAUACCCUGGUAGUCCAUGCCGUAAACGAUGAAUGCUAGGUGUUGGAGGGUUUCCGCCCUUCAGUGCCGCAGCUAACGCAUUAAGCAUUCCGCCUGGGGAGUACGACCGCAAGGUUGAAACUCAAAGGAAUUGACGGGGGCCCGCACAAGCGGUGGAGCAUGUGGUUUAAUUCGAAGCAACGCGAAGAACCUUACCAGGUCUUGACAUCUUUUGAUCACCUGAGAGAUCAGGUUUCCCCUUCGGGGGCAAAAUGACAGGUGGUGCAUGGUUGUCGUCAGCUCGUGUCGUGAGAUGUUGGGUUAAGUCCCGCAACGAGCGCAACCCUUAUGACUAGUUGCCAGCAUUUAGUUGGGCACUCUAGUAAGACUGCCGGUGACAAACCGGAGGAAGGUGGGGAUGACGUCAAAUCAUCAUGCCCCUUAUGACCUGGGCUACACACGUGCUACAAUGGAUGGUACAACGAGUUGCGAGACCGCGAGGUCAAGCUAAUCUCUUAAAGCCAUUCUCAGUUCGGACUGUAGGCUGCAACUCGCCUACACGAAGUCGGAAUCGCUAGUAAUCGCGGAUCAGCACGCCGCGGUGAAUACGUUCCCGGGCCUUGUACACACCGCCCGUCACACCAUGAGAGUUUGUAACACCCGAAGCCGGUGGCGUAA
Molecule: ribosomal RNA, 830 nt
Filed under: Lacticaseibacillus paracasei
Lineage: Bacteria; Bacillati; Bacillota; Bacilli; Lactobacillales; Lactobacillaceae
Description: bacterial SSU rRNA
Rfam family: Bacterial small subunit ribosomal RNA
Source: RNAcentral